RNAcentral lists this non-coding RNA (105 nucleotides) under uncultured Lacrimispora sp. Its description in RNAcentral is "FMN riboswitch (RFN element)". It matches the Rfam family "FMN riboswitch aptamer (RFN element)", at positions 8 to 131 of the family's 138-position model. From Rfam's summary of the family: The RFN element is a highly conserved domain that is found frequently in the 5'-untranslated regions of prokaryotic mRNAs that encode for flavin mononucleotide (FMN) biosynthesis and transport proteins. This element is a metabolite-dependent riboswitch that directly binds FMN in the absence of proteins. Lineage: Bacteria; Bacillati; Bacillota; Clostridia; Lachnospirales; Lachnospiraceae. The record is from RNAcentral.
AUCUUCAGGGCAGGGCGAAAUUCCCUACCGGUGGUAAAGCCCACGAGCCGCAAGGCAUGAUUCGGUGAAACUCCGAGGCCGACAGUAAAGUCUGGAUAAAAAGAA